RNAcentral lists this long non-coding RNA (3582 nucleotides) under Megachile rotundata (alfalfa leafcutting bee). RNAcentral's name for it is "uncharacterized LOC105663886". Lineage: Eukaryota; Metazoa; Arthropoda; Insecta; Hymenoptera; Megachilidae. The record is from RNAcentral.
CGCGAACGCGCGUUUCUUUUGGCGCCACGACUUCGAAUCGUGGCCGAAGCUUCGAAGCGGUUCGUCGCGCGAUGGAAAAAUCAACCGCUUGCUCGACAAACUUUUUCACCCAUAUCCCGCGUACAACAGAUUCGUCGUUUUCUUUUCGUUCACCGAGAACCGACGAUACCAUCGAUGGACUUUCCGUGGUUGGCCGAGACGCGUCUCGUUCAAAAAUAUCUUUGAAAAUUACGUAACGUCGGAUCGCGAGCCGCUCUCCGCUAGCCGUUCCGUCGACUUUACGCUUAUCUCGUGAAUCGCGCCGCUUCGAUAAUACGAGAUACGAAAUUCUUCGUGCGCGUUAUCUCUCCACGUGAAAAAAUCGCGUAAUCGCGAUGGCGUCACGAACCCGCGAGCCUCGUGCGGGUUUCGCGAGCCAACCAACAACACAAUACGGAUGUUUCGACAGACGAAUUCCUUUUCGAUUUCCUUAUCGCGUCGAGAAAAGCGCGCGACGAAAAAUGUUCGUCGUCGCGAACGCGUUCUCGCGUCGCGUACGUUUAACGAGAGAGACUCGUUUCGCGAUUAACGACAAGGUCGCAACUUCGUUAGAACGAAAUUCCAGCGUGGCUCGUUACGCGACCGAGCAUUCCCGACGAUUCUCUCGUUCGUUUCUCUUCGAUCGUACGAAUAUUUAUCGUUAUCAGCGACGAGAUAUUCGCGAUUCUAGAGAGCGGCAAUUUUCGCGUUAACCGCGCGGUCGAAUCGCCAACAAAAAUAGAGAUACGUGAUGCGCUAUAAAUAGAAAUAGGAAAGAUUUCGCGUGCCAAAAAUUCUCGAAUCGCGUGCAUCGGUGCACACGCGGUCGCGAGAUCGAGCGAUCGAAUCGACGCGACGCGGGGAGUUCGGCGCUUAAUUCCCCGUGACGAGCGCGAUCCAUCUCGCGUCGGUUGCGUAAAUGGUUCGCAACUUUCAACCGAGAAUCGUGACGAAGCGCAUUUUUUGCCGUUCGAGAAAUUACUUAAACCCCGCGAUACGCUAUCGAGUCAUCGAUUGUUCGUUGCGUAAUCUUUUUCGAACACGGUCAUAUACACGGUUCUCGGCAUUAUCCGGGAGGGGAUAGUCCUCUGGCCGUAGCGCUAAACUUUCUCUAUUUGGCCAUUCCGACGGCGCUUUAUAUGAUCGAAGAUUCGUUUCUUUCGUUUUACCAGUUUGCGCGUCGUAUCGAUUAGACAACGUUCGAAAUAUUUUCGGUACUGCCACGUACAGAAAAAGAAAAUCGGAAGCCUACAAUAUCGUGCACUCGAGCUCCCUAUCGCGCUCCGAAUUUCAACCACGACGCGUCGAGAAGGUAGGAAACGACGUUACGCGAUUGAUACCGUGCCACGAUAAGCUGAUGCGUUCUACAGUACCAACGACGAUUGGACGACGGAUCGUUACCGUUGGCCGAGCAGCCGAUACCGAUAGCGCAAAGCAUCUCCGUCGGUAACGUAUAAUUCUUAUCGAAAUUCGAACGGUACGAUCGGUAUCGGCGUUUACCGACGUCGUCGUUCGAAUUCCGAAACGUCCCGACGCGAGAUUUACGCGAACGUAUCGCGUAAACGAACUCGGCGACGUUUCUCGCUGGCACGACCUCGAUGCCAGCCUCGAUGUCGGUUCUGCACGGAUCGACUAUGCUACCGGCAAAUACGCUUGUAUCCGUGUUCUUCAAUAGGAAACGUCGAGCCCCUAAACGUAUUAUUCACUUGACAAAGUGGAAAAUAACGUCCGCCUCGUCCGAGACUCGGCAGCCACGAUCGAAGACAUCCUCGACCGGGUUGGGGGACCGGGAAAGAUCCGACCAGGAGUCGCGAGAUCGUUCCGUUUUCGCGAACUUUCGCGCGAUUCGUGUCAAGGUGAACACGGUUUUCGCGAGUUCCUAGUACGCGAUAUCGCCUUAUUCGGUUCACCUUUGCGUGAAUCGGCUUUAGGCGUCUCGGUUUCGGAAAACGAAACUUUCUACUUUCGCGCGUUCGGGCCUCGUCGCUCGCGUCACGGUUAGCAUUCCUAAUGGGUCGAGGAACGACGGACAGUGUCGAAAUUCCAAACGACAGAAAUCUUGAUUCUAAGCUACGUUCGUACACGUAUCGCGAUCGCGUCUCGUUCGAAUUCCACGAUGGUUCGGCUCACCGAUCGUUUCCGCCUGCUCGUUCGUUUCUUAUUAUAUGUAUAGGCGCGUGUUGUUCGUUCGGUUCGCUAGACGUCUGUCGCGAAUAGAAAAAGGCGAGCGCGCGCCGCGUUAUGCGUUAUUCAACAACGAGGACGCGAAACGUUUGAAAAGGACUUUUCCUCGUAGUCCCGCGACUUUUAGCCUCGAACGAGGCACUCCUGGUAGUCGAGAUUACUCGUAGUUCGAACGAAUCGAUCGAAUACCGCCGCGGCGACGAGCGUUCUCGCAACGGGAAUAGGGAAAAAAUUUGAGCGUACGAGUCGAAACAAGGUCGACCCACGAUCGAACGACCAGUUCACCACAUAUUUACGGAGCACCUACGCUCGCUGCGGACCAACGUUGGUACCAGCACCAGUUUUUUUUUCCCUCUUUUUCGCGGUUAAUCGAACGAGUUCCCAGACAGCGUUACGCGUUCGUUCCGGUUCUCGUUAUCCUAGCCGUUCGAAAGUUGCCGCCGCGUUCUCGAGCGACCGCGUAUCGCGUAUCCUCGCGCGCCAACUUUUUCCUUCGGGAACGCGUUAUCGUUCGACGAACUGCUCGCGAACGCGUAGCACGCGUGUCCAGGACGCGAAACGGCUAACGGACAAGAAAAGAAAUCGAAACAAAGACGAGGUAUCGUAUUUUCGACCGCUUACGUAACCGUACACGAAAAGAAAUAUUCGAUAAGAUAGAUAACUGUUAAGAAACUGCCGUGGUUCUCGAUCAAAAUUCGAUGAAACAUUGAUCAAUGAAAAACACGUGUUGCACGCGAGAGCAAUUUUUAUCGACAGUCUUCACGGUAACAAUCGUUCGUUUGUUCGUUUCGCGGAGUAACUUACAAAAGGCUCUCCGACCCCGUGUGUCUUACCGAUCGCGGAAACGGCCAAAUCGACGAAAUUUCUUUAAUGCCUAUUAACGCGGUAAUUAUUCAAGGUUACGCGUUCUUUGUUAAACGGUUUACGUACAAUGUCGAGCAACAAGUUUAAACGAUCUUUGUUUAAACUUGAUUGUCGCGUUGAAAAUUGGUUGUAUUCUGUUAGAAAUGUGCAAGCGAAAAUAACGCGAUAACACACCGACGUAAAGUAAUAUGCAUUAUAAAAAAUGUUCUUUAUCGGCGGUAAUCACGACGUUCCGUCGUGCUUUCCCAAAAUGUGGCAGAUCUGCAACGUUAUAUUCUUUUCGCCGCAAACACGUUGGUUCGAUAAAACAUUUGUACGAAGAAAAGGGGUACGUAAAGAAUAAAAGUUCAUUUCGAGUUUAUCGUUAAAAGUUGUUCCAUACCGAACUCUUCUUUAUGGGGAGGCCAAAGAUAAAGAGCGUCUAUCUAUUUAAAAAUAUUUGUUUGUCGUUAUUCGCUCGUUAACGUUACAGGCAAGAAUUUAAAAUUAGAUGUUUGUUAAAGAAAGAAAAAAAAA